This 426-nucleotide ribosomal RNA is filed under the name uncultured bacterium. Its description in RNAcentral is "bacterial SSU rRNA". It matches the Rfam family "Bacterial small subunit ribosomal RNA", at positions 355 to 773 of the family's 1533-position model. The record is from RNAcentral.
UGGGGAAUUUUGGACAAUGGGCGCAAGCCUGAUCCAGCAAUGCCGCGUGAGUGAAGAAGACCUUCGGGUUGUAAAGCUCUUUUGUCAGGGAAGAAACGGCCUGGGUUAAUACCUCGGGCUAAUGACGGUACCUGAAGAAUAAGCACCGGCUAACUCCGUGCCAGCAGCCGCGGUAAUACGGAGGGUGCAAGCGUUAAUCGGAAUUACUGGGCGUAAAGCGUGCGCAGGCGGUUUGUUAAGUCUGCUGUGAAAUCCCCGAGCUCAACUUGGGAAUUGCAGUGGAUACUGGCAGGCUGGAGUACGGUAGAGGAAGGUGGAAUUCCCGGUGUAGCAGUGAAAUGCGUAGAGAUCGGGAGGAACACCAGUGGCGAAGGCGGCCUUCUGGACCAGUACUGACGCUCAUGCACGAAAGCGUGGGGAGCAAAC